Molecule: ribosomal RNA, 425 nt
Filed under: uncultured bacterium
Lineage: Bacteria
Description: partial 16S ribosomal RNA
Rfam family: Bacterial small subunit ribosomal RNA
Source: RNAcentral
GUGGGGAAUAUUGGACAAUGGGCGCAAGCCUGAUCCAGCCAUGCCGCGUGAGUGAUGAAGGCCCUAGGGUUGUAAAGCUCUUUCACCGGUGAAGAUAAUGACGGUAACCGGAGAAGAAGCCCCGGCUAACUUCGUGCCAGCAGCCGCGGUAAUACGAAGGGGGCUAGCGUUGUUCGGAAUUACUGGGCGUAAAGCGCACGUAGGCGGACAUUUAAGUCAGGGGUGAAAUCCCAGAGCUCAACUCUGGAACUGCCUUUGAUACUGGGUGUCUUGAGUAUGGAAGAGGUAAGUGGAAUUCCGAGUGUAGAGGUGAAAUUCGUAGAUAUUCGGAGGAACACCAGUGGCGAAGGCGGCCUGCUGGACAUUAACUGACGCUGAGGCGCGAAAGCGUGGGGAGCAAACAGGAUUAGAAACCCUUGUAGUCC